This 253-nucleotide ribosomal RNA is filed under the name uncultured bacterium. RNAcentral's name for it is "partial 16S ribosomal RNA". It matches the Rfam family "Bacterial small subunit ribosomal RNA", at positions 524 to 776 of the family's 1533-position model. The record is from RNAcentral.
UACAGAGGGUGCAAGCGUUAAUCGGAAUUACUGGGCGUAAAGCGUGCGUAGACGGUUAUGUAAGUCGGGUGUGAAAGCCCCGGGCUCAACCUGGGAAUUGCAUUCGAGACUGCAUAGCUAGGGUGCGGAAGAGGGAAGCGGAAUUUCCGGUGUAGCGGUGAAAUGCGUAGAUAUCGGGAGGAACACCUGUGGCGAAGGCGGCCCCCUGGUUGGAUACUGACGCUGAUACGCGAAAGCGUGGGGAGCAAACAGG